RNAcentral lists this ribosomal RNA (550 nucleotides) under uncultured bacterium. RNAcentral's name for it is "partial 16S ribosomal RNA". It matches the Rfam family "Bacterial small subunit ribosomal RNA", at positions 355 to 895 of the family's 1533-position model. The record is from RNAcentral.
UGGGGAAUAUUGCACAAUGGGCGCAAGCCUGAUGCAGCCAUGCCGCGUGUGUGAAGAAGGCCUUCGGGUUGUAAAGCACUUUCAGCGAGGGGGAAGGUGGUGAGCUUAAUACGCUCAUCAAUUGACGUUACUCGCAGAAGAAGCACCGGCUAACUCCGUGCCAGCAGCCGCGGUAAUACGGAGGGUGCAAGCGUUAAUCGGAAUUACUGGGCGUAAAGCGCACGCAGGCGGUUUGUUAAGUCAGAUGUGAAAUCCCCGGGCUCAACCUGGGAACUGCAUUUGAAACUGGCAAGCUAGAGUCUCGUAGAGGGGGGUAGAAUUCCAGGUGUAGCGGUGAAAUGCGUAGAGAUCUGGAGGAAUACCGGUGGCGAAGGCGGCCCCCUGGACGAAGACUGACGCUCAGGUGCGAAAGCGUGGGGCAGCAAACAGGAUUAGAUACCCUGGUAGUCCACGCUGUAAACGAUGUCGAUUUUGGAGGUUGUGCCCUUGAGGCGUGGCUUCCGGAGCUAACGCGUUAAAUCGACCGCCUGGGGAGUACGGCCGCAAGGUU